AAAUUGAAGAGUUUGAUCAUGGCUCAGAUUGAACGCUGGCGGCAGGCCUAACACAUGCAAGUCGAGCGGCAGCGGGAAAGUAGCUUGCUACUUUUGCCGGCGAGCGGCGGACGGGUGAGUAAUGCCUGGGGAUCUGCCCAGUCGAGGGGGAUAACAGUUGGAAACGACUGCUAAUACCGCAUACGCCCUACGGGGGAAAGGAGGGGACCUUCGGGCCUUUCGCGAUUGGAUGAACCCAGGUGGGAUUAGCUAGUUGGUGGGGUAAUGGCUCACCAAGGCGA
Molecule: ribosomal RNA, 281 nt
Filed under: Aeromonas salmonicida subsp. salmonicida
Lineage: Bacteria; Pseudomonadati; Pseudomonadota; Gammaproteobacteria; Aeromonadales; Aeromonadaceae
Description: partial 16S ribosomal RNA
Rfam family: Bacterial small subunit ribosomal RNA
Source: RNAcentral